CCUGGGGAUCCCUAAAUGCCAUCUCUCUUUCUUGGCAAAACCCUGGGCCUGAGCCAGGACUGAGUAAUAGAGGGGAAACCACCCUGGAUGGAAUGGGACAGGCCCAAGUGACCUUGGGCAAGUCCCUGCCCUCCUGCACUGGUCUCAGAUGCUUCCUCUGAUAAACAGAGAGUUUAACCCCACCUCAUUUUUCUGUCCACCCAAUAAACGUCUACUGAACUCCUACUACAUUCCUGGCAUUUGCUUGGCAUGUGGGCAGAUAAAUAGAGGAAUUAGACUCAGUGCCUGGAAGAACCCACAGUCAGGUGGGGUGGGAGAGAAGGCACAUAUAACAUAUAAUUACAAAUACUCUUGGUGGGUGCUAGGGGACGUGGACAGUCCCUGCCAGAUCUGGGAUCCCCAGAGUGUGUCAGUCCAGGGACAGGAAUACGUGAUUGACUUGGCAAGAUUACAGGGCUGCACCCAGAGAGGCGUUGGCCCUUGAAGGUCAGGAAAGCCCUGGCCCAGCUUCGGAGAGCAAAGCUGGUGAACAGGGGCUUUGGAAUCUGGCAGAUCCAGGUUUCACUCCAGAGCAGACACCGACCAGAGGCAGCAGUGUAGUUCUCUGGGUCUCAAAUUGUUCCUGUUGUCAAAGGAGGAUGCCCCCAAGCUCCCUGGGAGUUUGGACGUUCCAUAAGAUGACAGAAGUGUGGCACAGAGGCUGGCGCGUAGUGUGUGUUUCCACCGUCUGGGCACGAGGGGGCGGAGCUGCAUGCCCCCCCUCCCCCCGAUUCUGGGACACACCCGCACUUUGCCUCCCUGGCUGGCCUCCGCAGGGCAGACUUUCUUGCUAACGGCCUCUGGCCCCAAGAGGACUCUGCUUAGCUCUUCCUUUAAAAAAAAAAAUUUUUUUUUAAAUGUUUGUUUAUUAUUGAGAGAUGGAGUGUGGGAGGGGCAGAGACACAGAAUCCAAAGCAGGCUCUAGGCUCUGAGCUGUCAGCACAGCCCGAUGUGGGGCUUGAACCCAUGAACUGUGAGAUCAUGACCUGAGCCGAAGUCGGACACUUAACUGACUGAGCCACCCAGGCGCCCUUGCCUGGCCCUUUCUUGAUCCCAUAAAUGCUACAGUGGGCUUUCCUCCUUCCAGGCUAGAGUCCUUUCCACCAUGCCCCUCUGCCUUCCUGAUCUGACUGUGAACUUGGUAUGUGCUGAAGCCACGGGUGGGACUCCUCUGGGGUAAGCCGGGGCAGGCUGCGGAUUCUUUCCUCUCUCCCCAGCAGCGGGGCACUGCUGGAGCUCCCUCCUCCUGCCCAACAACUUGCUGAGGACAAGGUGACAUCCUUCCUCCCUUCUCAGAGGCAGGACUGACUGGCUUCCUAGAAGAAGGCUUCAGGACAGGCCCAGCGUCAGACGCACCCAAGGGAGGCAGGAGGAAGCUGCUGGCAGGGGGAGGGUGGGAGCGUGGGACAGCAGUGGAAGGACAGGUUCACCCGCAUUCUUGGCAGGUCCCAGGAUUGCAAAGCACUUUCUGUUUUUGUCACCGACUGCCAGUCGCUUACUCUGCCAAGGCCACAGCGCACCAAGCUUUUCAGAGCACGGAGCCCUUCUGUUUGUAAUUCCCGCUCUCCACAACAUGAGAGAUGGGUCCCACUGGCUCUGUUUUACAGAUGAGGAAAUUGAGGCCUCGAGAGGAAGAGUCACAUGUCCAAACUCAGAUGGGCUGAUGGGAAGGAAUCAACAUUUCAUCGAGAACAUGCCACAAGCCAGGCCCGUUCCAUACGCGAGAACUGUGCCUCCUUUCAACAGCCCAGCAAGACGCCUUGUUCAGGUUUUCCCCACUCUGCAGAUGAGCUGCCCCAAACCCAACUUGGUGAACACACUUGCCCGGGGUCCCAGAACUAGGAAGCCCAGAGCCAAGAUGUGAGCGGAGAUCCACCGGGCUCCUGGUCCUGCUGUGCUCAUUUCCCUCUCCACGGUAAAGGCUAGGAGGAAGCAGAGACUCAGAAAGGUUCAAGCUGGGCCAGGGUCACGCCAGCCGCUAGCAAGUGGCAAACGUCGUUUUCCACCCAGGUCUAACUCCAGAACUUCUGCAUUUCCCGCAAAGCUGCAUGGUCUCAAUAACUUCUUUUGUGGAGCAACUGACUGAUACCAAAUCACCACAAAUGACUCAGAGACAGAAAGACUGAAAGGGCCAUGAACCUUAUUACUGUUGUCGUUAACGCUGUUCUUCAUCGCAGGGUCAGCAUUUACACCGUAUGGCUCAGACGGGCAGAAAUAAGACUUGUUUUCUUUUGCAACUGAGCCUGACUUGAUCACAGCUUCCCUCCCCCCCAGUUUUAUUUCUGAGUGAAAGUUUAUUCUCUGCACGGCAACUGAAUAAAAUGCAUGAUCCUGCGUUUUCUUUUGUUAUAAAGGACAUUUGAGGACAACCAGUAAAAUCUGAAGUCUAUAGCUUAGAUAAGGGUGCUGUAUAGUGAUGACUCUCUAAUCUUAAUAAUUGUUCUGUGAGUAUAUAGGAGGAUGUCCUUUUUUUUAAAUGUUUAUUUAUUAUAUUGAAUGAGAGAGAGAGCACGUAUGAGCAGGGGAGGGGCUGAGAGAGAUGGAGAGAGAGAGAAUCCCAAGCAAGUUCAGUGCUAUCAGCACAGACCCCGACUCAGGGUUUGAACUCACAAACUGUGAGAUCAUGACCUGAGCCCACAUCAAGAGUCGGAUGCUUAAUUGACUGAGCCACCCAGGUGCGCCGAGGAUGUCCUUGUUUUUAAGAAAUACAUGUUGAAGGAGGCACCAGGGUGGCUCAGCCAGUUGAGCGUCUGACUUUGGCUCAGGUCAUGAUCUCCAGGUUCAUGAGUUCGAGCCCCACAUCAGGCUCGCUGCUGUCAGCCUGUCAGCUAGAGCCUGCUUCAAAUCCUGUGUCCCCCUCUCUCUGCCCCUCCUCUGCUUGUGCUCUCCCCCAGAACAAAUAAAUAUUUUUAAAAAAUAUGUGCUGAAGUACUUAGGGGUAAAGAGGUAAUGUGUCUGUAGCUUUUAAAUAUUUCAGAAAAACAGGAUACAUGCACUGCAGAAAACACACAGAAGGGGAAAGCAAAUGAGGUAAAAUGUUAACAUCUGGGGAGUUGGGGUGAAGGGUAUCUUGGAAGUCUUUGCACUAUUCUUGUGACUUUUCUGUAAAUCUGAAACGAUGUCAAAAGCAAAAGAUUUGAAUUCAAAAAUGUAUUCUUGUUUGGGCAAAAAGUCACAUCGGGAUCCAAAAUCUGAUGGUGUCCAACCGCCUCCCCUCAGGAUGACAUCUGGGGCCUUGGGCCUGGGCUCCUGGGCGGGCUGGCCCUGCUGGUGUCAGCUUCACUCCCCAUCAUUUCUCGGCUGGCAUGACUGGUCCAGCCUGGUGCUGGGCCCGAGCCUGUGUCGCUCCAGAGUGCGCUCCAGUCAUGGCCUCUGGUGUCAGUGCUGUGCCCUGGGAGCCCUUCUCAUCCUGACCCCAAGUCUCUCACAAUCAGUGUCUUACCAGUGCUUGGAUACACCCCACUGGAAACUUCUGACGCUUACCAUGACCCACAAAGGCCUUGGGGGAGUCACGCUCUUGUAUGAGUCAGUCCCAUCAGGAAAACGGAAAUCACACUGGCUGUUUUAAGAGAGAAAUCUUAAUGUAAGGAAUUGGCUCAACAGUAUUGGACAAGUGGAAAAGCAAACAGUGAGAUAUCAGAGGUAUGACUGCAGGAAACAGAUACCGUCCCUCGGGAUGGGGGGACAGAGGGAGAAGCUGAGAUUAUUAGAAUCUAGAAACUGGAACCCCGACCCGUGACGAGUGGCUGGUGUUGCUACAUCCACAGGGAGGCCAGUUCUGGGGAUGUGAGAAACAGUUGGAAACUGGAACCAGUUGCCACUGCCGGGGUGAAGAGUUAUUGUGAGGUGACGUUGCUACAAAGGAAGGGCCAGGAGGAAGCCUCAAGUCCUUUUCCGGUGGCCAUCUUGUGCUCUCUAGCGCCCCCUAUGGACAGAGCCUGCCAUGGAAACAGCUGGAGAAACAAGUGUCACAAGACAGAACAGAGAGAAGUGAGUCACUAAGUCCAGUCCUGGAGGCAGAAAAUUAAGCUCCACUUCCCGGAGGGAGAAGUAUCAGAGAAUCUGUGGACAUCUGUUCAAACCACUAUGCUUCUGGAAGACUUGGGUGUGGCUGCUGUGGGGCCAGAGCAAGGCCCCGGCGGGCGCAGCUCAGUGCUCCGCGCUCCCACCCUGCUGUCCAGGUCCCCUCGCCAGCACGCCUGGCUACUCCCCAGACAGCAGGACGAACAAGCCUCCAUUGAUUCUGCAUCAUGGCUAGAAGAAUGCCCCUUUGUUGAGCACUUCCCCCUCCUCCUGUGUGUCUUUGCCCACAGGAGAGGCAUUCAGGUCCUGCUCGCACGCCUGCUGCUCCAUGAAUCCCCACCAGAACGGGAAGCUUGUCAAAAGGAGGAAGCAUGGGCUGUUCCUCUCUGUACCCCUGUGCCCAACCCGGAGCUUGGUCUUGAAGCGACACUUCAGAGUCUCAAGGAACAAAUGAACUGACUUCUGUCGGUGGCUCUACCACCUCCCAAUCACCCAGGCCUGAAACCUGACCAGCCCAAUGCCUGGCUGGUCACAAGCUCUGCUGAUUCUCCCUGAAAAGCCACCCCGACUUCUCAGUCUGGGCUUCACAGCCCUCCCCAGGCUGGCACCAACCUAGCCAACUGCGUCCGGGGGUCCCCUCCUUCUGCCGGCCUGGACUCUCCACUGCUCACUCAUCCACCCACCUCCACACUAUUUACUGAGCCCAUACGGAGCCCUGCCAUUGCUCCAGGGGCUGGGGAUGCAGGGAACAGGCAGACUGAGUCCUCUCCCUCAAGGCUCUCACAGUCUCUUGGGGGUAGACGGACAAUAAAUCGGUGUGCAAAUG
This is a long non-coding RNA of Acinonyx jubatus (cheetah), 4888 nucleotides long. RefSeq lists it as uncharacterized. NCBI's taxonomy places the organism in Eukaryota, Metazoa, Chordata, Mammalia, Carnivora, Felidae. The record is from RefSeq and is a predicted model, not a curated record. The transcript has 4 exons.